CUGACUUUAUUUGUUUUUUGAAACCAGGUUUGCUGUUCACUUGCGCUAUGGAAGGGAGUUCCAUGCAAUACUGGUUCUGUACAAUACUGUACCUUUCCUUGAAUUUGUUCUGGACCUGGGGACAGUGAAAAAUAACCCUGGUGGCAUGUCUGGUGGGUGUGAAGAGGAGACGAGGGAGCCGGAUGGCACGGCAUCGGUGUCAUUAGUCUUUAUUAUCCUCCGGAGAGGAGGAGUGGAGUGGAGGGGAGGGGAGGAGCAGUGAGGGAGAGACAGGGAGCGGUCAGCGGAUCCCGUCGGGUUGAGGAUGAUACCAUCCCAAUGAUCCCAGCCUCUCCAUGACAACAGCUUCCAUGGGCUUGAGAGUGGACCGGCGACCUUUGAGAGAACUUCUGUCUUUGUUUACACUGUCAUACUGUGACAUAGUUCCCAUAACACAAUGUGACACUUGGGAGCUGUAUGAGAUAUUGUCCACUAACUCUUUGCUUUUCACCAAUGCAUGGUAAAGUGUCUGACAAAUCUGCCCAUUGAUUGAGUAGAUGUGGAUGAAAUAUAAGCGCAAGUCUAUUUGAGAGGCCCCUACAUUUUCAUCACACUCUAUCGGCUUUCUAAAUGGGUCAAAUAGGAGAGAGGGGGCGGACCAUGCACGCAGGACAGGAGAGAUGGGAGGUGGCCCUGGCAGUGUGGCACCAAGGUUAACUAAUUAGAGCAUUAGUGUGUGAUACAUGUCUCUCUCAGGUGAUCAGUCAAAGCCAUCCAGUCAUCCCCUUUCUUACCGCCCCUCAUCCCACCCCCCCCCCCCUUUCAUCCCCUCAUUACCUUCCCCUGCUAUCUCCCCUUAACACCUGCAGCCCAGCCAUCGGUUGUAGCAUUAUACAGUGGCUUCCCACAAACACACACACACGCACGAGUGAAUUUGAAACACGCAUGCAUUCGCACACGGUCGUAUCACAUGGGUCCAUACACCGCCGCUCUUUGUCCUGACGGAGCCCAGGCCCACCCAUCACGUCAAUCUAAUGGCAGCACUGUUUAUAUUUAUGUACAGAGGAUAGAGGAGGGGCAAGAAAAGGUCCCUCUCUUACUGUGGGGUUUAUUGACUAAGCAUUAAGUGGACAUUAUCAGCCAAUAGCCUGGUUAUUUAUGAGGCGGUGAUAAAGGCUUGGAGAUUGAGUUAUGUGAGAACCAGGCUCUGGAUGAAAGGUGCUCAUACAAACCGCUGAUACCCGCCGCUCGCCACUCCGUGUCUGGGUAGAGAGAGAGAGGCACGCCAGCCCAGGCUGAGGCUGGGAGAGCCGGGCCAAACCCGAGCUGAAACACUAUUGCGCGGAGGAUUUAUGGAUGAGGGCAUUUAUGCUCCUUCCACAGGUCAAACGAAGGGCUGCUGCUCUACAUUUCAUAUCUGCGUAAGACGAGGCAAAUCUAUCCUGUACGUACUGAAUUCUAUUGACCUCUUGACCUUAGCGUAAGAUGAUACUGAGGGCAGCUCAGAGAGCGAGUGUUUAAAAUGCAACAUGCUGUUAUACAUAAUGCAUGGGAAAAUAUACCUUAUUUCUCAAACCUUUUAUUGAAUAUCGCCGCUGUCCACGACUAUUCCCUGAGCCAGACUUCAGUGCUCGGUUUGGUUUUCAUUUUUAAAAAGCUGUGGCUACAGUGAAACAGCAAUCCUAUGGACCGGUAAUAUUUUCUUGUGUAAUCUAAAAGAAAAACAUGAGUUAACCUGUGAUAAAUCUGAUCCCUCCAAACACCUGCACUGUACACAGACAUACAUGUACACACACCCAAUACAGUACACACACACACACCUUCAACCAAAUUCACGACAUACACCCAUCUUCAUACUGUACACACACCCAUUCUCACCCACACAUACUGUCACUGCACACACACACACGCCUUCACCAAAAUCCACAAGCCACACACAUCCUCACCAAAGUCCACAAUGCAUACACAAACGGACUUUACCCACUGUAACUGUAACUGUACACACAGCACAGGUAUUCUUCACCCACUACCCCAAGGAAGCCAUCUUUCUCUGCACUAAACCAGGUCAACAAACAAAAAGCAAUUAUGUUGGGCAGCUGCCGCCUGGGAGUGGGUAAUUACAGUGCUGUGUGGACAGCUUCAUUCUAAACAGGUACUAAAAGCAUCAUCCAUCAUCCUCACACUCACUGACGCCCACCUCACCCUCGUCAUGUGACACGAGUGGAGUGUGUA
This is a long non-coding RNA of Oncorhynchus keta (chum salmon), 2211 nucleotides long. RefSeq lists it as uncharacterized. NCBI's taxonomy places the organism in Eukaryota, Metazoa, Chordata, Actinopteri, Salmoniformes, Salmonidae. The record is from RefSeq and is a predicted model, not a curated record. The transcript is spliced from 3 exons.